UACGGAGGAUGCGUGCGUUAUCCGGAUUUAUUGGGUUUAAAGGGUGCGUAGGCGGGCUUUUAAGUCAGCGGUAAAAAUUCGGGGCUCAACCCCGUCCGGCCGUUGAAACUGGGGGCCUUGAGUGGGCGAGAAGAAGGCGGAAUGCGUGGUGUAGCGGUGAAAUGCAUAGAUAUCACGCAGAACCCCGAUUGCGAAGGCAGCCUUCCGGCGCCCUACUGACGCUGAGGCACGAAAGUGCGGGGAUCGAACAGG
Molecule: ribosomal RNA, 252 nt
Filed under: uncultured bacterium
Lineage: Bacteria
Description: partial 16S ribosomal RNA
Rfam family: Bacterial small subunit ribosomal RNA
Source: RNAcentral